This 21-nucleotide microRNA is filed under the name Eugenia uniflora (Surinam cherry). RNAcentral describes it as "eun-miR10217-5p". The record is from miRBase by way of RNAcentral. Lineage: Eukaryota; Viridiplantae; Streptophyta; Magnoliopsida; Myrtales; Myrtaceae.
UAGGGUCAGAUCGCUACUUAG